This 435-nucleotide ribosomal RNA is filed under the name Escherichia coli. RNAcentral's name for it is "bacterial SSU rRNA". It matches the Rfam family "Bacterial small subunit ribosomal RNA", at positions 96 to 527 of the family's 1533-position model. Lineage: Bacteria; Pseudomonadati; Pseudomonadota; Gammaproteobacteria; Enterobacterales; Enterobacteriaceae. The record is from RNAcentral.
UGGCGGACGGGUGAGUAAUGUCUGGGAAACUGCCUGAUGGAGGGGGAUAACUACUGGAAACGGUAGCUAAUACCGCAUAACGUCGCAAGACCAAAGAGGGGGACCUUCGGGCCUCUUGCCAUCGGAUGUGCCCAGAUGGGAUUAGCUAGUAGGUGGGGUAACGGCUCACCUAGGCGACGAUCCCUAGCUGGUCUGAGAGGAUGACCAGCCACACUGGAACUGAGACACGGUCCAGACUCCUACGGGAGGCAGCAGUGGGGAAUAUUGCACAAUGGGCGCAAGCCUGAUGCAGCCAUGCCGCGUGUAUGAAGAAGGCCUUCGGGUUGUAAAGUACUUUCAGCGGGGAGGAAGGGAGUAAAGUUAAUACCUUUGCUCAUUGACGUUACCCGCAGAAGAAGCACCGGCUAACUCCGUGCCAGCAGCCGCGGUAAUACG